RNAcentral lists this ribosomal RNA (317 nucleotides) under uncultured eukaryote. RNAcentral describes it as "partial 18S ribosomal RNA". It matches the Rfam family "Eukaryotic small subunit ribosomal RNA", at positions 1470 to 1796 of the family's 1831-position model. The record is from RNAcentral.
CCCUUAGACGUUCUGGGCCGCACGCGCGCUACACUGACCAGUGCAACAAGCAUCCGUCCUUGGCCGACAGGCCCGGGCAAUCUUUGAACGCUGAUCGUGAUGGGGAUAGACUUUUGCAAUUUUUGGUCUUCAACGAGGAAUUCCUAGUAAACGCAAGUCAUCAACUUGCAUUGAUUACGUCCCUGCCCUUUGUACACACCGCCCGUCGCACCUACCGAUUGAAUGGUCCGGUGAAGCCUCCGGAUUGGCGUGCACCCUCGGGUGCUGCCGAGAAGUUGGCUAAACCUUACCAUUUAGAGGAAGGUGAAGUCGUANCA